GAUGAACGCUGGCGGCGUGUUUAACACAUGCAAGUCGAACGGUGAAGCAGGAGCUUGCUCUUGUGGAUCAGUGGCGAACGGGUGAGUAACACGUGAGCAACCUGCCCCUGACUCUGGGAUAAGCGCUGGAAACGGCGUCUAAUACUGGAUAUGUGAUGUGACCGCAUGGUCUGCAUCUGGAAAGAAUUUCGGUUGGGGAUGGGCUCGCGGCCUAUCAGCUUGUUGGUGAGGUAAUGGCUCACCAAGGCGUCGACGGGUAGCCGGCCUGAGAGGGUGACCGGCCACACUGGGACUGAGACACGGCCCAGACUCCUACGGGAGGCAGCAGUGGGGAAUAUUGCACAAUGGGCGGAAGCCUGAUGCAGCAACGCCGCGUGAGGGAUGACGGCCUUCGGGUUGUAAACCUCUUUUAGCAGGGAAGAAGCGAAAGUGGCGGUACCUGCAAAAAAAGCACCGGCUAACUACGUGCCAGCCGCCGCAGUAA
RNAcentral lists this ribosomal RNA (484 nucleotides) under uncultured bacterium. RNAcentral's name for it is "partial 16S ribosomal RNA". It matches the Rfam family "Bacterial small subunit ribosomal RNA", at positions 28 to 523 of the family's 1533-position model. The record is from RNAcentral.